GGGUUAGCUUUAGCCUAGCCAAGGCCUCCUCGCUUGACUAAUUGACUAACUUAAUGUGGUGUGGCAAGAUGCUGCACAGCUGUCUUAUAUCGAGAAUACAUGUUCCCCCUCGUUCUAUCCAUUCCUAGGUAUUUACCUAAAGGGCAGGUUGUCCCUCCAUUUCUCAGGAAACUACAGCAACAUUGUAAAGUAUCUUUUCAAGAGCCACACACCUAUAAAACCAAAGAACUGUCAUGAAUCCUGCAUCUUGAGUCUGUUUUGCCAGUGUUUUGUUUUUGCUCAAACCAGAAGUUUGUUUUUCCUGAGUUUUCCUGAACACAUCCCGGCUGAGUCUCCAACCACUUACACCUGCUGCGAUCUGCACACCCGGUCCUGAUUACCAUUCCCUGCACCAUAUAAGCCGCGACCAGACAUCCAUUACCUGCCGGAUCGUUAGCGUAACCUUUACUCACCUGGAUUGUCACUCACACCUGCCUAGCUGUCUACUCCACUGCAGCACAUUUGGAUCAGCACAGAAACCUCCCGUCUUCCAGCCUCACUCCCUGCCGUCCAACUGGACCUAAUCGUUUUCCACAUUCAAAUUCCAAGUACUGGCAUUCUGGACAGCCUGAUAACUUUAAGAAUCAGGAGGACUGCGCUGAGAUAUACUAUGGGGAACAUAACUCAUUUGAGACAUGGAAUUAGUUGAAUUGUGGGACAACACUUAACUGGAUUUGUGAGAGAGUGGUUUAAAAAUGACCUGUCCCUUUCUGUCUCUCAAGUUGUUAUGAAUAAAUAAAUAUACCUCCCAUUUAUAUACUUCCCAUUUAUUUGACAAUAAAACUAUUGAGCAUUUAGUCACAGAGAAAGAGACAGAACCAGGCAAAACCAACAAUAUAACUAGACCCUGAGAAUUAACAUCACUACUUACAGUAACAGUCAAAUAUUCAGACUCACUGUUAUAGAAUAGAGUGUUGUGCUUCUGAUUUGCCUGCAUAGCAACAAUUAUGUUUAAAUAGGUUAUUGCUUUGCUGAUGGAAAAAUACAGAAUUUGUUCCUGUGAGAAGCGAUACAUGUUGUUCUAGUAAAGUGUAACAAUAUAACUUGUGGCUGACAGCUGUACAACCUGUAACCACUGGAUGGGCAAAGAUGUUAGAAAAACCAGCUAGAACCAGAUAAACUUUGUCUAGGUGAAGUGUAACUGUUGUUAAGUAUAAAUGUUUUUAUCACACCAUAUUAACAGUACAAGAAAAUUUCCUUCUUAGCUGUACUUUCUGAGAUUUCACUGUCUCUCUGCU
Molecule: long non-coding RNA, 1277 nt
Organism: Esox lucius (northern pike)
Lineage: Eukaryota; Metazoa; Chordata; Actinopteri; Esociformes; Esocidae
Exons: 3
Source: RefSeq, a predicted model, not a curated record